RNAcentral lists this small RNA (29 nucleotides) under Bombyx mori (domestic silkworm). RNAcentral describes it as "ovarian small RNA-8791". Lineage: Eukaryota; Metazoa; Arthropoda; Insecta; Lepidoptera; Bombycidae. The record is from RNAcentral.
UGGGAACCUAUUUCGGCCGCUGUGCAUUC